CACCCCAGCAAUGAUCGUAAAGAGAAACCCUAGCAUUCAAAAUCGAAGCGAAACAAAAAGUCAGAAUCUUUCAAUAUGACACAAAAGAAGAAGAAUUUAAUCCCAAUGAGGGAAAAUUAGCAAAUAGUUUUGCCCCAAAUAUACAAAUGGCGAAAGGUCAAUAGAAGAAGAAAUCUAUUGCAAAUGCAAUGAAGGAUAAUCUUUCCGAUCAAAUUAUUAGCAAAAGACAAAAGUUAAUGAGAAAUCAGUGCUUCCCCAUCCAAUUUGCAAAGGGAAGAGCGUGUUGGAUAAUAAUACAGGGCAGAAGGAUGUUGAUCAGGCCCUGGAAAUUCACUUUGAAGAGGAAAUUUUUAUGAACAUUUUCAGCAGGUUACCCGUGCAGUCUCUUGUUCAAUUAAAAUGUGUUUCAAAAUUUUGGAAGGCAUUAAUAUCCGAUCCUUACUUUAAGAUGAAGCAUCUCAGUCAUGCCAAGAAUAACCCAAAUUUCCGAAAAACUUCUUCUUAGCCAAAAUUUGCCUAAUAUAUGUGAUAUGUAUACCUUAUGUUGUUUUUUAUCGUCGGCUCAACUGGUUGAGAAUGAACAAAUACUUGAUUGCCCUUUAAACUUCAAACCAUUGGGUUGCAGAAUGUAUUGUUGUUGCGA
This is a non-coding RNA of Nicotiana tabacum (common tobacco), 643 nucleotides long. The record is from RefSeq and is a predicted model, not a curated record. Lineage: Eukaryota; Viridiplantae; Streptophyta; Magnoliopsida; Solanales; Solanaceae.